UCCGUUGUGCGCCGCUCUUUUUGCGACUCCUCGCAGCUGGCCUUGAACCCCCCCCCCCACUCCCGUCCCCUGCCGAUCUUCUCCAGUUCGACCCGCUCCAACGCAAGCCCUUUUGAUUUGUUUCUCACGUGAGUCACGAUGCGCUCCUCGUUCGUGCAUAAGGCGGCCGCCGCAGCGGCUGGUGGGGGUAUGACCGCAACGUCUAGCGAUCACAAGAUGGCAUCGCUGCACAAGCUUCUCACUGGUGAGGUGCAGUUCCGCAACAACGCCCUGCUGAAGGCGUGCAACAUCGAGCACAACUUCGGUUCCAAGUGGAAGUCAGACAUUGAGGCGUACGCGAAGUGCCUGCCGCCGGACGAGAGGAGCUGUCUGGAGCGCCAGGUCGCGCGCGUCACGCUGACGCGCUACACGACUCGCGAGCUUGCCGAGUACUGCGGCGAGGGCCCGGAGCACGUGGACGCGGUGGCGCGUGAGGCGAACAUUGCACAGGCCAAGGCGUAUGCGCAGAAAAACGGCGCCGACAAGCUGGAGGCCUACGUGAAAGCCGAGUCUAAGAACGCCGGCUGGUCCGAGGCCGAGGCGAAGAACUUUAUGGAUGCCGUGAAAGCGGCCAAAUAAGUGCUUGUCAAGAAACCGUCCAGCGAGGCGUGAGGGGUGGUGACGUCGCGCUGCACUUGCUAACCUGGUCUGGACGAUAUCGUGCCCAUCGUUGAUCGUAGGCAAGCUUUCGUGUCUUUGCUGAUCCGCCUCUGUGUGACCCUUCUCUCGCUUUCUGUGCUCUGUGUGCAGCACCGGAACCCUCUCUCUCUCUCUCUCUGCACGAGGCAGAGGCGCUUAUACGCGUGCGUGUACAACAACAAAGAGAGGGCUCAGGCAGAAGCGGUUGCCGAAGUGGGUGUGCAUGUGUGUGCACACACCAGGGGUCGGAGAAACAUCGCGAAUCAACACGGUAGGCACGCCCAUGGACGAAGACGCGUGCGAGCCCCGCCAUGCUUUUUUCUCGCUGUUCGCGUUGUUGUUGUUUUAGUGUAGUUUAGCGGACGAAAAGAAAAUUGAAGCACUCUCGUUGGUGCGGUAACGCGCGUCAGUGAACAGGAUGCCGGCGUUCCAGGGUGCGCGCAUGUGUCUGUGAAACUUGUGAGUUGGUGAAGGAGGAACGCAUGAGGGAAGGGGAUGGCGAUGGUGGUGGACCAGAACUAGAGACAAGUACUGCCCUUGAAGUGGCCAUGGGGAUGCCAAAGAGGCGCUCGGGGCUUCGGAUGUCUCCUGAGGCGUUUUUUUGUUGUUUUGCGAAUCUGUACUUGAUGGCGUGCUGGUGCCUGUUUCCCUGCGUUCCGUUGUGCACACCCACCCACACACACGCCCCCUUCUCCCCUCUCUCUAUCGCGACGCGCUGAACCCAAGAAAUGACGACGGCCUAGGAAUGGAAGAGCUCUUCUUGGAUUAAAAAAAAAACAGCAAGAAAAUAUUGACACGACAGCGUACUAGUCACGCGUAUCAUUGGUACGAGGAAAGGGACUAGCCUAUCGUAAGAGAAGAUCGGAGCUACUGCAGCUCUCAAAAUGUUCGCUGACGACCGCCGGUCGAGGAUCGAUAGCGUUGCAGGAUCGGCGUAUUGGAGCCGAACCUUGCGGCACUUCUAUGAUCAUCGCCGCCUGCAUUUCCGACGCGUGCCGUUUCGUCCAAACGGUGGGGUGGCGGUGGUGGUGACAGCUUCAGGGUCAUCAUGUUGUGACCUAUCGGUGAGAACUCCACUCUUUGUCUCAUCUUACUACUCGUGCAUCCUCCGGUGAGGCUUGACCUUUUCCUUUGGUAG
This 1816-nucleotide unclassified non-coding RNA is filed under the name Leishmania donovani. RNAcentral's name for it is "gene:LdHU3.36.6300(CDS-product:hypothetical_prote in_conserved)". Lineage: Eukaryota; Euglenozoa; Kinetoplastea; Trypanosomatida; Trypanosomatidae. The record is from RNAcentral.